AUGUUCAACGGCUCCAUCCCGCCGCAGCUUGGCAACCUCUCCGGCCUCGUCGACCUCCGCAUCUAUAACAACAACCUCGCCGACAGCAUCCCGCACCAGCUCAGCAGGCUCCCCAGGAUCAUGCAUCUCGACCUGGGCUCCAACUUCCUCACUGACCCAGACUACCGCAAGUUCUCGCCCAUGCCGACCAUCACCUUCUUGUCGCUCUACCUCAACUACCUAACCGGCAGCUUCCCGGAGUUCAUCCUCAAGAGCGGCAACAUCACCUACCUCGACCUGUCGCAGAACAAUAUCUCUGGACCGAUACCGAGGUCGCUGUUGAAGCUGGGGAAGCUCCAGGACCUGCGGGUUGGCGAUAACAAUCUGAUGGGUGGAAUUCCCAAGUUCCUUGGGUCCAUGUCUAAGCUUAGAGCUCUCGAACUCGGCGGCAACCUGCUCGGCGGAUUGAUCCCGCCAGAGAUUGGCGGCAUGACGGCGUUGCAAGUCUUGGACAUCAACACCAACCAUUUGGAAGGUGAGCUGCCCACCGCCAUCACAUCACUCAGGAAUCUCCAAUACCUCAACCUGUUUCACAACAACUUCACGGGCACCAUACCUCCGGACCUUGGUAAGGGGCUAAGCUUAAUCGACGUGAGCUUCGCCAACAAUAACUCCUCCGGCGAGCUGCCGCAUAGACUGUGUGAUGGCCUCGUGCUGCAGAACUUCACUGCGUCACACAACAACUUCAGCGGCAGGCUGCCAUCCUUCCUUGAGAAUUGCACGUCGUUGUUACAGGUGCGGCUGGAAGGCAAUCAAUUCACCGGCAACAUCUCCGAAGUGUUCGGUGUCAAUCCCAACUUGGACUACUUGGAUGUCUCAGUGAACCAGUUGGGAGGGAAGUUGCCGUCUGAUUGGUCACAGUCAACCAAUCUUACACGCUUACGCAUGAACGAUAAUCAAAUAUCUGGCAAUAUUCAUGAAACCUUCUGCAGAUUGACCUCUCUCCAGGAACUGGAUCUAUCAAAUAACCAACUCACUGGAGAGCUCCCAAGUUGCUGGUGGGAAUUCAAACUUAUGUUAGCUAUGGAUUUGUCCAACAAUAGCUUUUCAGGUGAACUUCCCAUAUCAACGAGCUUGGGCCUUAAACUCCAGUCACUUCGUCUUGCUAACAAUAACUUUCUUGGAGUUUUUCCAUCCGUAAUUGAAACCUUCAGAGAUCUCGUCAUCCUAGAUCUUGGUAACAACAAGUUCUUCGGUGAUAUCCCCUCUUGGGUUGGAACAAGUGUUCCUCUUCUAACAGUUCUGAGCCUCACAUCCAACAAUUUCAAUGGUGUUGUUCCACCUGAGUUAUCCCAACUUUCUAAUCUGCAAGUCCUGGACCUGUCCAGCAACUCCUUCUCAGGUGAGAUCCUCACGGCCAUGGCAAACCAUAACUGCUCUCUCGACUCAUUUCAUCUUGCAGGCAAUGGCUUUGCCGGCGCCUUCCCACCGUUCCUGCAAGGCUGCAAGUUGCUGGCCACCCUGGACAUUGGGAACAACCAGUUCUUUGGUGGUAUCCCUGCAUGGAUUGGGAGUCAGCUUCCAUCACUGAAAAUCCUUAGGCUUAGAUCAAACAAUUUCACCGGACAAAUUCCCCCAGAAUUAUCGAGGCUUUCGGAACUUCAGCUGCUCGAUAUGGCCAACAAUAGCUUGACAGGAUCGAUUCCUGUAACCUUCAGAAAAUUGACCUCCAUGAGGCACAAUCUUCCCCAGUUGGUCCAACCGAGGGAUUCCGCUCCUUUAAAGAUUAUGGCCAAUGGACGACCGCGGGUGGAUCAGUUCCCAGAGAGAGUCAACAUAUCCUGGAAGGGCCAUGAACAAACUUUUCAGAAAAGCAUUGGGUUAAUCACAGGUAUCGACCUAUCAUGCAAUCGACUUACGGAGAACAUCCCUGAGGAGCUAACAUACCUGGAAGCUCUCCGGUUUCUGAACUUAUCCAGAAAUGAUCUAUCAGGCAGUAUUCCAGAGAGAAUCGGCAGACUGGAGCUCCUGGAGUUCCUUGACCUCUCAUGCAAUGAACUUUCAGGUGGCAUUCCUCCCAGCAUCUCAAAUCUGCCGGCCCUCGGUGUGUUAAAUCUCUCAAACAAUCACCUACAGGGCCGCAUACCCACCGGGAAUCAGUUGCAGACACUUGCAGAUCCAUCAAUAUAUGGCAAUAAUCUAGGGCUCUGCGGCUUCCCCUUGAGCCCGUGUGAGCCUACAUUGGGCGAGGGAAUUGAAGACCACACAAAACUCAUAGACCUGGGGCUGUGUUACUCUGUAAUUCUUGGCAUCGUUUCUGGCUUCUGGCUUUGGUUUGGAGCUCUGUUCUUCCUGGAGAAGUGGAGAUUUUGUUUUCUCCGUUCUGUUGAUGGCUUAGGGGUCAAGAUAGGUGUCACCCGCUAA
This 2403-nucleotide ribosomal RNA is filed under the name Triticum aestivum (bread wheat). RNAcentral's name for it is "partial small subunit ribosomal RNA". Lineage: Eukaryota; Viridiplantae; Streptophyta; Magnoliopsida; Poales; Poaceae. The record is from RNAcentral.